Molecule: ribosomal RNA, 585 nt
Filed under: uncultured bacterium
Lineage: Bacteria
Description: partial 16S ribosomal RNA
Rfam family: Bacterial small subunit ribosomal RNA
Source: RNAcentral
UGGGGAAUCUUCCGCAAUGGACGAAAGUCUGACGGAGCAACGCCGCGUGUAUGAUGAAGGUCUUCGGAUUGUAAAGUACUGUCAUUGGGGAAGAACGGUUUUCUUGAAAAGAUUGAGAAGACAUGACGGUACCCAAGGAGGAAGCCCCGGCUAACUACGUGCCAGCAGCCGCGGUAAUACGUAGGGGGCAAGCGUUGUCCGGAAUUAUUGGGCGUAAAGGGCGCGUAGGCGGGCCUUUAAGUCCGGUGUGAAAGAUCAGGGCUCAACCCUGAGAGUGCAUCGGAAACUGGAGGCCUUGAGGACAGGAGAGGAAAGUGGAAUUCCACGUGUAGCGGUGAAAUGCGUAGAUAUGUGGAGGAACACCAGUGGCGAAGGCGACUUUCUGGACUGUAACUGACGCUGAGGCGCGAAAGCGUGGGGAGCAAACAGGAUUAGAUACCCUGGUAGUCCACGCCGUAAACGAUGAGUGCUAGGUGUAGAGGGUAUCGACCCCUUCUGUGCCGCAGUUAACACAAUAAGCACUCCCGCCUGGGGAGUACGGCCGCAAGGUUGAAACUCAAAAGGAAUUGACGGGGGUCAUAGCUG